AGCCCUGCUCUUUGCCAGCGCUUCUCCAUGCUCGGCAUCGUCCUCUGCGAUUGGGCUGGAGUUGCUGGGCAGCAGUGACCUGACCACUGGGCACGCUGCCAUCUGCCAGCUUCUCAAGGACCAGGGCUGUGCCUUUCCCCUCCUGGUACCCAAGGACACAGCACAGGGUCUCUAAACGGCAGCUGCUCGCGAGGCCGCUGCAGGAAUGGUAUAGCCUCUGCUUACCGGCUGCCCGUCUUUUCCUGAGCUGUUCUCUGGGCACAGGUCACAGGAGCUGAAGUUGGCCACAGGGAGGCCUCGGAAGGGCUGUACGGGCAGGUGACUGGGCCAUGAGCUGGAGUACAUGGCCUGGGGGACUUUCCCAAGGUCAACCCAGGAGAUGGGUUUCUAGGACCUUUCCGAGGUGCAGGUCUGGGCCAGCACUGCAGUUGUAGGUUCCAGGGAUCGAACUCAUGACUGCCUGCUUGCAAGGCAGGCGCUUAUGCCUCUGAGCUAAAUCCCCAGCCCCAGCCUGCAGCUAUUUUGAAGACAUCAAAAGGCAUUAUGACAAGGCUUGCUGUGCUUCAGAUGUGGGAAUGACUGAGCCUCUCCUCAAAGCACAACUUUUGACUUGAAAAAAGGCUACGUGGUGGACACAGAGGACUGAGCCUCCUGGGGCUACUGUCCCCCCCGGGACACCUGCUCUCCUCCUGGGCCAUUUCACUCACUCACGGAGUGGGUGGGGAAGAGAACAAGGAGUUGAACUUCAGUUACCCCUGAGAUCUUUGCUUUUAUUAGAAACCAGAAAAUCCUCUUAAGCCGUGCUCAUCUCUUCUCGUCCGGUUCUGAAAAUGCACAGGACCCUUGCUUCUUCCAGCGGGUGACUGGACCCACAUCAGGGGAAUCUAACACCAUAACCGCAGCUCCCCAUUCUGACCCUCACGCUGCUGCAUGAACUCUCUCCUCUCGCCUCAUCUCCCUGGCAAACAAAACUGACCACCGGAAGGGACUUGCCAUCCAUCGAAGUCAGCAUCUAGGGAAGGAAGAGAGCCUUGGACAAGGUGGCUAAUUUUGUCAUCCAUAUUGAACAGCACAUCACUCUGGAGUGACACUGCCCCGGGGGCAAGGGGUGGGUAUUUCACCUUGAUGCCUUAAAUGUCCACCUCCAAAAUUCAAUAAAUUUCAAUUCUCUGUCACUUAAA
Long non-coding RNA from Cavia porcellus (domestic guinea pig), 1181 nucleotides. RefSeq lists it as uncharacterized. The transcript has 3 exons. The record is from RefSeq and is a predicted model, not a curated record. Lineage: Eukaryota; Metazoa; Chordata; Mammalia; Rodentia; Caviidae.